UUAAAAACUUCUUUUAAUCUUUAAAAACACUUUCAUGCAGAGCCUCUGUUAGGACCUCAUUGCGAUACAGAGUUAUGACCUUGUCACCAAAAUGUCAAUGACCAUAUUUUAACCUGCUAUUUAAGGCUGUCAUAGCCAUAUUCUUAUAACAAUGCCGUUAAGUUCAAGAGAACUAUAGUUUGGUGAUAUGGAUCCCAAACGGAAGGGAACAGCAGCGGUUUGUAGUUGUAGAGAACUAAUUAGCGCCAAGUGUUGUUAACCUGUUGUUUCUUGUUUACCUGUCACAGUAGCCCAUAGCACUUUUGUCAUAGAGAGCAACUUGGUCAGUAAAUAUGUGCCUGCUGUAUAAAGUAGCAGUAUUUGGAUGAGUUACAGCUAACACGGACGGCAAACUUGAGACUGUAUAUUGUGUGUUUGACAGAUUUCUGACAGCGACAGCGAUGGUGAGGGAAGCAGUGUACCGAACUCUCAGAUGACUCGGACCAGGUGACCAAACCCAUGCAAAGCACAAUGACUGUGCUGAGGCGUUCCGCCCCCCUCCCCCUCCACACCACUCAAGGCACGGCGGCGGCCCAACCGCAAACUAACGGAGAUUAACAUGAGGCUGGAUGCGCUUGGCUCCCUGCUGCGUCCAUCACCAGAGGGGCCGGGAUUGCUGCGGCAGCUAGCCAAUUAAAGGAGGAGGAUGAAGGAGAGGAGUCUGACGAUGCCGACAUCGCCAUCGUAUGCAGUCCACGCCCUCGCAGGAAAACCAGCCAAUGAAAACGCUUGCAGCAGCAUCAGCAGAACACACCGGCACGACUGACAGAGCUUCUGAAGCAUGCAGUGGAAGACCUGUCAGUCAAGCUAAAGGUCCCGCCCUCCAACCUGCUGCUGCUGCACGGAGAGGCGGAACUUAACACCUCACACACUAUUGGCCAGCUAGGACUCUGCAUCGCUGACAUCUUUGGUAGGAAUGUGUGUGUGUGUGUGUGUGUGUGUUUGCGUUUGGGUGUGUUUGCGUGUGGGUCUGUGUUGGUGCAAGUCAGUCUUGGCUCCUUCCUGAUAUUAUACUGUAUAAGUUCAUACGUAUACCGCAUUGCAAAAUGAAUUUCAUAUACAGUAUAUCACGAAAGUGAAUACACCCCUCCAGGGCUCUAAAUUAACUUUUUCCACCACC
This is a long non-coding RNA of Engraulis encrasicolus (European anchovy), 1159 nucleotides long. RefSeq lists it as uncharacterized. The transcript has 4 exons. NCBI's taxonomy places the organism in Eukaryota, Metazoa, Chordata, Actinopteri, Clupeiformes, Engraulidae. The record is from RefSeq and is a predicted model, not a curated record.